UACAGCGGUCUCACGCGUUGUUCGGAUUCAUUGGGCGUAAAGGGUGCGUAGGCGGCGCGGUAAGUCGGGUGUGAAAUCUCGGGGCUUAACUCCGAAACUGCAUUCGAUACUGCCGUGCUUGAGGACUGGAGAGGAGACUGGAAUUUACGGUGUAGCGGUGAAAUGCGUAGAUAUCGUAAGGAAGACCAGUGGCGAAGGCGGGUCUCUGGACAGUUCCUGACGCUGAGGCACGAAGGCCAGGGGAGCAAACGGG
Molecule: ribosomal RNA, 253 nt
Filed under: uncultured bacterium
Lineage: Bacteria
Description: partial 16S ribosomal RNA
Rfam family: Bacterial small subunit ribosomal RNA
Source: RNAcentral